UUUGUCCAAUGAAAAAAAAAGUUUACCUGAAGAGAAGGAGAAAAAAGAAAAGAAAACAACCCAAGGAAACACACAUAUCUGAUUUCUCCAGCAAUGUCAAGAAAGAUAAAGAAGUAAAAGCACAAUGCUAAAGACAUUAUGAUCUGUGUGAGACACAGGCUACCCUGAAUUCACAUGUUCAGAACUCAGUGAGUAUGAUGAGAUGUCUGCCAUGGAUCAGGAAUAGUCAUAACCCUGUGUGUGAUGAUGGGCGGAAACAUAUAUUUAUCUAAAUAAAUUUAGAGCUCUUUCCCUAUGGACA
RNAcentral lists this long non-coding RNA (301 nucleotides) under Anser brachyrhynchus (Pink-footed goose). RNAcentral's name for it is "lncRNA (ENSABRG00000010503.1)". The record is from RNAcentral. Lineage: Eukaryota; Metazoa; Chordata; Aves; Anseriformes; Anatidae.